GACGGGGGGGGGGCAAGUGUUCUUCGGACUGACUGGGCGUAAAGGGCACGUAGGCGGUGAAUCGGGUUGAAAGUGAAAGUCGCCAAAAAGUGGCGGAAUGCUCUCGAAACCAUUUCAGUUGAGUGAGACAGAGGAGAGUGGAAUUUCGUGUGUAGGGGUGAAAUCCGUAGAUCUACGAAGGAACGCCGAAAGCGAAGGCAGCUCUCUGGGUCACAACCGACGCUGGGGUGCGAAAGCAUGGGGAGCGAACAGG
This 253-nucleotide ribosomal RNA is filed under the name uncultured bacterium. RNAcentral's name for it is "partial 16S ribosomal RNA". It matches the Rfam family "Bacterial small subunit ribosomal RNA", at positions 522 to 776 of the family's 1533-position model. The record is from RNAcentral.